This 956-nucleotide long non-coding RNA is filed under the name Camarhynchus parvulus. Its description in RNAcentral is "lncRNA (ENSCPVG00000016820.1)". Lineage: Eukaryota; Metazoa; Chordata; Aves; Passeriformes; Thraupidae. The record is from RNAcentral.
AUGUGGGCGGAUUUGGGGUCCAUUUUGAGCCUCAUUUCUGUGGAAUUUUGGGGUUUUUUAUGGGAUUUUUCCCCAAACUUUGGGAGUUUUGGGAAUCGUGAGGGGGUUGGGCACACUCUCAGGGGGAUUGGGGUGAAUUUUGGGGUGAAUUUGGGCGGAUUUGGGGCCGCGUUUUCGCCGCAGGCCGCUCCGGCUCCUCCGAGCCAGCAGGGGGCGCUGCGCGCAUGCGCGGCGCGGCUCCGGAAGGAGCUGCAGGGCCUGGGGGACGCCAUUGCGGACGCACAGGAAACGGCGCAGCGCCUCGAGGCCGCCCUGGGGGAGGGGCACAGCCGGCGGUGGGCGGAGCUUCGGCGAGGGGCGGAGCUUCGGCUGCUGGGGGUGGAGCCGGGCCCUGCAGGGCUGCGGGCCGGCCACGAGGGGGCGCUGAGGGCGCGCCAUAAAAGGCCGGGCCCGAGCCGGGCGGAGCUGUCAGCCAUCUUGGCCUCGGGGGCGGAGCCGGAAGUGCUGGUGUCAAUCAAGGCCCUGUGCAAGGCCAGGGAGGCGGAGCUCCGGAGGCCACGCCCACACAGGUAAGCCACACCCCUUCCUCAUUAGCUACUAAUUAACCCUCUAAUUAAUCGAUUAACCAGCUAAUUAAUCCACCCCAGAGCUGCCAAUCACCCGGGAAGGCCCAGGAGGCUCCGGAUUGGCUGGAACAGGCUGAGGUGGGUGUGGCUUGCUGGGGAAGGGGGCGUGGCUGCGUUCAGGCCCCACCCCCUGCCCUGACGCUUGGCGCCCCCUGCAGGCCGUGCUGAUUGGCCACAGCCCGGGCGCGGUGCUCUGGGCGCUGGAGGCCCUGGCCAAUCACAGCACCAGGUGGGUGGGGCUUAGUGGGGUGGGUGUGUCUAGAAGGGAUGGGUGGGGCUUAAAAUGGGUGGGGCUUACCAGAGUGGGUGUGGCUUGAAGGGGUGGGUGGG